Molecule: ribosomal RNA, 2878 nt
Filed under: Candidatus Phytoplasma australasiaticum
Lineage: Bacteria; Bacillati; Mycoplasmatota; Mollicutes; Acholeplasmatales; Acholeplasmataceae
Description: 23S ribosomal RNA
Rfam family: Bacterial large subunit ribosomal RNA
Source: RNAcentral
UAAAGGAAAUAAGAGCGCACAGUGGAUGCCUAGGCACCAAGAGCUGAUGAAGGACGCAAUUAACGGCGAUACGCUACGGGGAGCUGUAAAUAAGUGUAGAUCCGUGGAUUUCCGAAUGGGGCAACCUACUAUAAGAAGUUAUAGUAUCAAUUGUUAGGCAACUAACUGAUUGAAAGGAACGCAGUGAACUGAAAUAUCUAAGUAACUGCAGGAACAGAAAGUAAUAACGAUUCCGGUAGUAGUGACGAGCGAAUCCGGAACAGCCGGAUACCAAUAACUAGUUACCAAAUUUUAAUUAACUCGAAAUAGUUGGAAAGCUAUAUCCCAGAAGGUGAAAAUCCUGUAGAGGUAAGUUAAAAUCUAGGGUAUCCUCAAGUACGGCGAGACACGAGAAAUCUUGUUGGAAGAUAGGAGGACCAUCUCCUAAGGCUAAAUACUCCUUGGUGACCGAUAGUGAACUAGUACCGUGAGGGAAAGGUGAAAAGAACCCCGGAAGGGGAGUGAAAUAGAUCCUGAAACUGUGUGCUUACAAGUAGUCAAAGCUCGUUUUAAGAGUGAUGGCGUGCCUUUUGCAGAAUGAACCGGCGAGUUAUGAUAUAGAGCAAGGUUAAGUUUGAAGGAACGUAGCCGUAGCGAAAGCGAGUCUGAAUAGGGCGUUUAGUUGUAUGUCAUAGACCCGAAACUGAAGUGAGCUAGCCAUGAACAGGCUGAAGUGACGUGACCACGUCAUGGAGGGCCGAACCAGGACACGUUGAAAAGUGUUUGGAUGAUUUGUGGCUAGAGGUGAAAUUCCAAUCGAACUCAGAGAUAGCUGGUUCUCCCCGAAAUAGCUUUAGGGCUAGCGUUGGGUAUUUAAUAGUUCUUGAAGGUAGAGCACUAAAUGAGUGCGGGCUCCACCUCGGGGUACCAAUCUCAAUUAAACUCCGAAUGUCAAGAACCGUAUCCCAGCAGUCAGACGAUGGGUGAUAAGGUCCAUGGUCAAAAGGGAAAGAGCCCAGACCGUCAGCUAAGGUCCCUAAAUUAAUGUUAAGUGGUUAAGGAAGUAAAAACGUUAAAACAAUUAGGAAGUUGGCUUAGAAGCAGCCAUCUUUUAAAGAGUGCGUAAUAGCUCACUAAUCUAAUAUUUUUGCACCGAAAAUGUAACGGGGCUAAACAUUAUACCGAAGCUACGGAUAUGUUCCGGCUAGUAAUAGCUAAGGAACAUGUGGUAGGGGAAGCGUUCUAACAUCGUAGAAGCUAUAGCGGAAGCAGUAGUGGAGAGGUUAGAAGUGAGAAUGCCGGUGUAAGUAACGAAAAGAUAGAUGAGAAUUCUAUCCGUCGAAAACCCAAGGUUUCCAGGGGCAGGGUCGUCCGCCCUGGGUUAGUCAGGAACUAAGGCGAGGCAGCAAUGCGUAGUCGAUGACCAGCAGGCUAAAAUUCCUGCACUAAAAAAAUCACUGAUGGAGGGACAAAAGAGGAUAAGCACGCCCUUUAUUGGAUUAGGGUCGAAAAAUCGAGUUUGAGAAGAUAGGCAAAUCCGUCUUCUUACUUGCCAAAAAAUGAGAUUUGAGGGUAACGUGACUGUGUUCAUAUUUUCUAGAAAAGCUUCUAGGGUUAAUGAUUUUUUUACCUGUACCGUAAACCGACACAGGUGGGAAGGUAGAGUAUACUAAGACGCGCGAGAAAACUCUUGUUAAGGAACUCGGCAAAAUGACUCCGUAACUUCGGGAUAAGGAGAGCUUUUAUGAUAAAAAGUAAAAGCCGCAGAGAAUAGGCCCAAGCGACUGUUUAUCAAAAACACAGGUCUCUGCUAAACCGUAAGGUGAUGUAUAGGGGCUGAUGCCUGCCCGGUGCUGGAAGAUUAAGAGGAGAUGUUCGGGCUUGCCCAAAGCAUUGAAUUGAAGUCCCAGUGAACGGCGGCCGUAACUAUAACGGUCCUAAGGUAGCGAAAUUCCUUGUCGGGUAAAUUCCGACCUGCACGAAAGGCAUAACGAUUUGGGCGCUGUCUCAACAAGAGUCUCGGUGAAAUCAAAUUACCGGUGAAAAUGCCGGUUACCCGCGACAGGACGAAAAGACCCCAUGGAGCUUUACUGUAGCUUAAUAUUGGAAUUGGAAAUCUCAUGUACAGGAUAGGUGGGAGACAGAGAACUUUAGACGCUAGUUUAAAGGGAGUCACCGGUGGGAUACCACUCUUGAGAUUUUUAGUUUCUAACCUGCAUAAGUGGAUUAUGAGGGACAGUGUUUGGUGGGCAGUUUGACUGGGGCGGUCGCCUCCUAAAAAGUAACGGAGGCGUUCAAAGGUUCCCUCAAAAUGGUCAGAAAUCAUUUUUAGAGCGUAAAGGUAUAAGGGAGCUUGACUGUGAGACCUACAAGUCGAGCAGGGACGAAAGUCGGACUUAGUGAUCUUGCGGUACCGAAUGGAAGGGCCGUGACUCAACGGAUAAAAGCUACCCUGGGGAUAACAGCCUUAUCGCCCCCGAGCGUUCACAGCGACGGGGCGGUUUGGGACCUCGAUGUCGGCUCAUCGCAUCCUGGAGCUGGAGCAGGUUCCAAGGGUUGGGCUGUUCGCCCAUUAAAGCGGUACGCGAGCUGGGUUCAGAACGUCGUGAGACAGUUCGGUCUCUAUCCGUCGUGGGCGUUGGAAAUUUGCGAGGAACUGUCCCUAGUAUGAGAAGACCGGGAUGGAUAUACCGCUGGUGCACCAGUUGGUUCGCCAGAGCCAUAGCUGGGUAGCUAUGUAUAGUAUGGAUAAACACUGAAAGCAUCUAAGUGUGAAGCCUCCCUCAAGAUGAGAUUUCCCUAAGAGAUCCCUGAAAGACGAUCAGGUUGAUAGGCUAGAAGUGGAAGAGUAGUGAUAUUUGGAGCUGACUAGUACUAAUAGAUCCAACGACUUUGAUGA